AGCACACAAAAGGUUUGCGAUGAGAGGACUGUAAUAAGACAAACCUCAUCAUUUUCACUGCUGUUUUCCAGGGGCCCCGUGGUCUUCCAGGCGAAAGAGGACGUCCCGGCCCAUCCGGUGCUGCUGGUGCUCGUGGCAACGAUGGUCUCCCUGGCCCCGCUGGCCCCCCUGGACCUGUCGGCCCCUCUGGAGCUCCUGGAUUCCCUGGCGGCCCAGGCUCUAAGGUAGGUGAUGAGUCUCCGGCAAACGCUUCUCACGCAGCUGAGCGCGGAGCUGGCCAGAAAUGCCCUUCCCCGGCCUUUUUGCAAACAUCAGUGAAAAUCCACUGCGCGCUUCAGUUCCCUUGCUCACCUCCAGCCUGACAUGUAUUUUCAGGGUCACCUGCUGGAGCAGUGAGCAAAGAUGGGAUGAGAAGGAGUGAGUGUGAAAGAAAGAGAAAGAAAGAAAGAAAAUGGGAGGAGAGUGAAUCACAGAAAGAAUGAAUGAGAAAGAGAGAGAAAAGAUGG
Molecule: long non-coding RNA, 506 nt
Organism: Gopherus agassizii (Agassiz's desert tortoise)
Lineage: Eukaryota; Metazoa; Chordata; Testudines; Testudinidae
Source: Ensembl